This 153-nucleotide small nucleolar RNA is filed under the name Ananas comosus (pineapple). Its description in RNAcentral is "Small nucleolar RNA snoR111". It matches the Rfam family "Small nucleolar RNA snoR111". The record is from Rfam by way of RNAcentral. Lineage: Eukaryota; Viridiplantae; Streptophyta; Magnoliopsida; Poales; Bromeliaceae.
CUGUGUUAGAGAGGGGAAUGCUUUUGUAGCUUUUUCUCUCUAAAAUCAACGCUAAUAUUAAGCAGAGGAAAUAUUAAUGAGUCGAGAUAUCGUUUCGGACGCUUUUUUUUCGUUUUUUUCUCCAUGGGCGAUUCGAUUGUUGCUCGACCACAU